RNAcentral lists this ribosomal RNA (474 nucleotides) under uncultured bacterium. RNAcentral describes it as "bacterial SSU rRNA". It matches the Rfam family "Bacterial small subunit ribosomal RNA", at positions 28 to 500 of the family's 1533-position model. The record is from RNAcentral.
GAUGAACGCUGGCGGCGUGCUUAACACAUGCAAGUCGAACGAAGCACUCUACUUGAUCUCUUCGGAGUGAUUGUUUUGUGACUGAGUGGCGGACGGGUGAGUAACGCGUGGGUAACCUGCCUCAUACAGGGGGAUAACAGUUGGAAACGACUGCUAAUACCGCAUAAGCGCACAGGGUCGCAUGACCUGGUGUGAAAAACUCCGGUGGUAUGAGAUGGACCCGCGUCUGAUUAGCCAGUUGGUGGGGUAACGGCCUACCAAAGCGACGAUCAGUAGCCGACCUGAGAGGGUGACCGGCCACAUUGGGACUGAGACACGGCCCAAACUCCUACGGGAGGCAGCAGUGGGGAAUAUUGCACAAUGGGGGAAACCCUGAUGCAGCGACGCCGCGUGAGCGAAGAAGUAUUUCGGUAUGUAAAGCUCUAUCAGCAGGGAAGAAGAAAUGACGGUACCUGACUAAGAAGCACCGGCUAA